UACGGGGGGAGCAAGCGUUGUUCGGAUUUACUGGGCGUAAAGGGCGCGUAGGCGGUCAGCACAAGUCAGUUGUGAAAUCUCCGGGCUUAACUCGGAAAGGUCAACUUAUACUGUGCGACUAGAGUGCGGAAGGGGCAACUGGAAUUCUCGGUGUAGCGGUGAAAUGCGUAGAUAUCGAGAGGAACACCUGCGGCGAAGGCGGGUUGCUGGGCCGACACUGACGCUGAUGCGCGAAAGCCAGGGGAGCGAACGGG
Molecule: ribosomal RNA, 254 nt
Filed under: uncultured bacterium
Lineage: Bacteria
Description: partial 16S ribosomal RNA
Rfam family: Bacterial small subunit ribosomal RNA
Source: RNAcentral